UGGGGAAUAUUGCACAAUGGGCGAAAGCCUGAUGCAGCAACGCCGCGUGAGGGACGACGGCCUUCGGGUUGUAAACCUCUUUAGCAAGGAAGAAGCGAAAGUGACGGUACUUGCAGAAAAAGCGCCGGCUAACUACGUGCCAGCAGCCGCGGUAAUACGUAGGGCGCAAGCGUUAUCCGGAAUUAUUGGGCGUAAAGAGCUCGUAGGCGGUUUGUCGCGUCUGCUGUGAAAACCCGAGGCCCAACCUCGGGCCUGCAGUGGGUACGGGCAGACUAGAGUGCGGUAGGGGAGAUUGGAACUCCUGGUGUAGCGGUGGAAUGCGCAGAUAUCAGGAAGAACACCGAUGGCGAAGGCAGAUCUCUGGGCCGUAACUGACGCUGAGGAGCG
Molecule: ribosomal RNA, 387 nt
Filed under: uncultured bacterium
Lineage: Bacteria
Description: partial 16S ribosomal RNA
Rfam family: Bacterial small subunit ribosomal RNA
Source: RNAcentral